CUCUGCCUGGUUUUGGUAUCAGGAUGAUAUUAGCUUCAUAGAAUGGGUUUGGAAGCUUUCCCUCCUUUUCUAUUUCAUAGACUAAUUCGAGAAGUACUGGUAUUAGUUCUUCUUUGUAGGUCUUAUAGAGCUCAACUGUAAAAUGUCUGGUCCUGGGCUUUUCUUGGUUGGUAGACUUGUGAUUGCAUCUCAUAUUUCCUUUCUUGAGAUUGAUGUGUUUAAAUUGUGUAUGUCCUCUUGAUUCAGUUUGGGUUGAUCAUAUGCCUCUAGAAAUUUGUCAGUGUCUUCAAGGUUUUUUAUUUUGCUGGAUUAUAUGUUUUCAAAAUAGUUUCUAAUUGUCUUUUAUAUUUCAGUAGUGUCUGUUUUUCCUUUUUCAUCCUGAAUUUUAGUGAUUUGAGUUUUCUUUCCCCUUCUUUUCACUGGGGUAGCUAAAUAUUUGUCAAUUUUAUUUAUUUUUUUCAAAGAACCAGC
Molecule: long non-coding RNA, 471 nt
Filed under: Marmota monax (woodchuck)
Lineage: Eukaryota; Metazoa; Chordata; Mammalia; Rodentia; Sciuridae
Source: RNAcentral